GUAGGUGGCAAGCGUUGUCCGGAAUUAUUGGGCGUAAAGCGCGCGCAGGUGGUUCUUUAAGUCUGAUGUGAAAGCCCCCGGCUCAACCGGGGAGGGUCAUUGGAAACUGGGGAACUUGAGUGCAGGAGAGGAAAGUGGAAUUCCACGUGUAGCGGUGAAAUGCGUAGAUAUGUGGAGGAACACCAGUGGCGAAGGCGACUUUCUGGCCUGUAACUGACACUGAGGCGCGAAAGCGUGGGGAGCAAACAGGAUUAGAUACCCUGGUAGUCCACGCCGUAAACGAUGAGUGCUGAGUGUUGGGGGGGUUUCCCGCCCCUCAGUGCUGCAGCUAACGCAUUAAGCACUCCGCCUGGGGAGUACGGUCGCAAGACUG
This 373-nucleotide ribosomal RNA is filed under the name uncultured organism. RNAcentral's name for it is "partial 16S ribosomal RNA". It matches the Rfam family "Bacterial small subunit ribosomal RNA", at positions 527 to 896 of the family's 1533-position model. The record is from RNAcentral.